This 385-nucleotide ribosomal RNA is filed under the name uncultured Thelephoraceae. RNAcentral describes it as "eukaryotic LSU rRNA". It matches the Rfam family "Eukaryotic large subunit ribosomal RNA", at positions 1 to 377 of the family's 3401-position model. Lineage: Eukaryota; Fungi; Basidiomycota; Agaricomycetes; Thelephorales; Thelephoraceae. The record is from RNAcentral.
UUGAUCUCAAAUCAGGUAGGACUACCCGCUGAACUUAAGCAUAUCAAUAAGCGGAGGAAAAGAAACUAACAAGGAUUCCCCUAGUAACUGCGAGUGAAGCGGGAAGAGCUCAAAUUUAAAAUCUGGCGUGCCUCUGGUCGUCCGAGUUGUAGUCUGGAGAAGCGUUUUCCGUGUUGGACCGUGUAUAAGUCUCUUGGAACAGGGCGUCAUAGAGGGUGAGAAUCCCGUCUUUGACACGGACUACCAAUGCUUUGUGAUGCGCUCUCAAAGAGUCGAGUUGUUUGGGAAUGCAGCUCAAAAUGGGUGGUAAAUUCCAUCUAAAGCUAAAUAUAGGCGAGAGACCGAUAGCGAACAAGUACCGUGAGGGAAAGAUGAAAAGCACUUU